UACGGGGGGAGCAAGCGUUGUUCGGCUUUACUGGGCGUAAAUGGCGCGUAGGCGGCCACCGCAAGUCGGUUGUGAAAUCUCUGGGCUUAACCCAGAAAGGUCAACCGAUACUGCGGGGCUAGAGUGCAGAAGGGGCAACUGGAAUUCUCGGUGUAGCGGUGAAAUGCGUAGAUAUCUGGAGGAACACCGGGGGCGCAGGCGGCGUCCUGGACCAAUACUGACACUGAGUGAGCGAAAGCCAGGGGAGCAAACGGG
Molecule: ribosomal RNA, 255 nt
Filed under: uncultured bacterium
Lineage: Bacteria
Description: partial 16S ribosomal RNA
Rfam family: Bacterial small subunit ribosomal RNA
Source: RNAcentral